Pistacia vera is the source of this 750-nucleotide RNA transcript. RefSeq lists it as uncharacterized. The transcript is spliced from 5 exons. Lineage: Eukaryota; Viridiplantae; Streptophyta; Magnoliopsida; Sapindales; Anacardiaceae. The record is from RefSeq and is a predicted model, not a curated record.
UUUACUACAAACUCACUGGUCUCUCACCCCGUUCCCCAUUUUCCACACACAAAAUUCAAUUCUGUUGAUUAUUUGAUUUCAAUUCUCAGGCGCAAAUUAACAAUGCCCCACGUCAUAGCUCUACUCAGUUGCAACAUGGUUAGUUUUGCGGCACAACGGCCGCAGCGUAGUAAAGCAAAGAAGAUGAAGCAGGUGAGGACAAAAGAAAAGCAGAGCAGCAGGAAUGCGGGGUUUGGCAUCGAGAAAAAGGAACCAUUGUGGCGAUGCGUCGAAGGUUGUGGUGCAUGCUGUAAGCUUGACAAGGGUCCUGCCUUCCCCACUCCGGAAGAAAUUUUCGAUAACCCAGAAGAUGUUAAGUUGUACAGAAGCUUGAUUGGUCCCGAUGGGUGGUGUAUAAAUUAUGAGAAAAACACACGCAAAUGCUCUGUUUAUCCUGAACGUCCAUAUUUUUGUCGCGUGGAGGCGGGCGUGUUCGAGUCAUUAUAUGGAAUUGGCAAGAAGAAGUUUAAUCAGGCGGCAUGCAGUUGCUGCAGGGACACCAUCAAGGAAGUUUAUGGUACCCAUUCCGAGGAAUUAGCUAACUUCAAUCGCUCAAUACGCAGCUGUGAUGCUUGAGUUAGUUUGAUUUGCUGUUCUUGAAGCUGGUACCUGCUUAAUUGUAAUUAAGAAUACGAGCUUAGUCAAAAAGGGGUUGAGUUGCCCCGAUACGGUUUUCCUCUUUUCUGGCGCCGUUGCUGCGUCAGGGCAUUU